This 76-nucleotide microRNA precursor is filed under the name Myotis davidii. RNAcentral's name for it is "mir-9229 microRNA precursor family". It matches the Rfam family "mir-9229 microRNA precursor family". The record is from Rfam by way of RNAcentral. Lineage: Eukaryota; Metazoa; Chordata; Mammalia; Chiroptera; Vespertilionidae.
GAGACAUCCCUAUGGAGCAAGACUUGCCUCAGUGGGGCUUUGGUGCUCACUGGGUCUUUGUCUUGAGUGUGUCUCU